This 92-nucleotide ribosomal RNA is filed under the name Legionella micdadei. The record is from RNAcentral. Lineage: Bacteria; Pseudomonadati; Pseudomonadota; Gammaproteobacteria; Legionellales; Legionellaceae.
UCCUGGCGACUAUAGCGGUUUGGAACCACCUGAUCCCAUCUCGAACUCAGAAGUGAAACAUACCUGCGCCAAUGAUAGUGUGGGGCUUCCCC